Molecule: ribosomal RNA, 326 nt
Filed under: uncultured eukaryote
Lineage: Eukaryota
Description: partial 18S ribosomal RNA
Rfam family: Eukaryotic small subunit ribosomal RNA
Source: RNAcentral
CCCUUAGAUGUUCUGGGCCGCACGCGCGCUACACUGAUGAAUUCAACGAGCACUAACCUGUGCCGAAAGGUUCGGGUAAUCUUGUGAAAUUUCAUCGUGAUGGGGAUUGAUUAUUGCAAUUUUUAAUCAUAAACGAGGAAUGCCUAGUAAGCGUGAGUCAUCAGCUCACGUUGAUUACGUCCCUGCCCUUUGUACACACCGCCCGUCGCUCCUACCGAUUGAAUGUGUCAGUGAAAAGUUCGGAUUGGAGAUAGGAGACGGCAACGUAUCCUAUUUCCGAGAAAAUCUUUAAACUUUCCCAUUUAGAGGAAGGAGAAGUCGUAACA